GGUUAAGUCCCGCAACGAGCGCAACCCUUGAUCUUAGUUGCCAGCAUUCAGUUGGGCACUCUAAGGUGACUGCCGGUGACAAACCGGAGGAAGGUGGGGAUGACGUCAAAUCAUCAUGCCCCUUAUGACCUGGGCUACACACGUGCUACAAUGGACAGAACAAAGGGCAGCGAAACCGCGAGGUUAAGCCAAUCCCACAAAUCUGUUCUCAGUUCGGAUCGCAGUCUGCAACUCGACUGCGUGAAGCUGGAAUCGCUAGUAAUCGCGGAUCAGCAUGCCGCGGUGAAUACGUUCCCGGGCCUUGUACAC
RNAcentral lists this ribosomal RNA (309 nucleotides) under Pasteurella multocida subsp. multocida. RNAcentral describes it as "bacterial SSU rRNA". It matches the Rfam family "Bacterial small subunit ribosomal RNA", at positions 1078 to 1388 of the family's 1533-position model. The record is from RNAcentral. Lineage: Bacteria; Pseudomonadati; Pseudomonadota; Gammaproteobacteria; Pasteurellales; Pasteurellaceae.